RNAcentral lists this transfer RNA (82 nucleotides) under Canis lupus familiaris (dog). It matches the Rfam family "tRNA". From Rfam's summary of the family: Transfer RNA (tRNA) molecules are approximately 80 nucleotides in length. Their secondary structure includes four short double-helical elements and three loops (D, anti-codon, and T loops). Further hydrogen bonds mediate the characteristic L-shaped molecular structure. tRNAs have two regions of fundamental functional importance: the anti-codon, which is responsible for specific mRNA codon recognition, and the 3' end, to which the tRNAs corresponding amino acid is attached (by aminoacyl-tRNA synthetases). tRNAs cope with the degeneracy of the genetic code in two manners: having more than one tRNA (with a specific anti-codon) for a particular amino acid; and 'wobble' base-pairing, i.e. permitting non-standard base-pairing at the 3rd anti-codon position. RNAcentral also lists the same sequence under 1 other name. The record is from Rfam by way of RNAcentral. Lineage: Eukaryota; Metazoa; Chordata; Mammalia; Carnivora; Canidae.
GCCCAGGUGGCUCAGUGGUUUGGUGCCGCCUUCAGCCCAGGAUGUGAUCCUGGAGACCCGGGAUCGAGUCCCGCCUUGGGCU